AACGAACGCUGGCGGCAUGCCUAACACAUGCAAGUCGAACGAGACCUUCGGGUCUAGGGGCGCACGGGUGCGUAACGCGUGGGAACCUACCCUUAGGUUCGGAAUAACUCCCCUUAAGGGGUGCUAAUACCAGAUAAUGUCUUCGGACCAAAGAUCUAUCGCUUUUGGAUGGGCCCGCGUUGGAUUCGCUGGUUGGUAGGGUAAAAGCCUACCAAGGCGACGAUCCAUAGCUGGUCUGGGAGGAUGACCAGCAACGCUGGGACUGCGACACGGCCCAGACGCGUACGCGGGGGAGCGGAGGGGUGUAUAAGACGCUGAGCGCUAGCCUGGUACAGCAGUGCGCCGUAUGUGAGGAAGGCCUUAGUGUUGUAAAGCUCUUUUUGCCGAGAUGAUAAUGACAGUACCGGGAAAAUAAGCUCCGGCUAACUACGUG
RNAcentral lists this ribosomal RNA (433 nucleotides) under uncultured bacterium. RNAcentral's name for it is "partial 16S ribosomal RNA". It matches the Rfam family "Bacterial small subunit ribosomal RNA", at positions 29 to 507 of the family's 1533-position model. The record is from RNAcentral.